ACCGAGCGGCCGAGCAAUUACCCGCCAGAGGGGGGGUCCUGCAAUUCCGCAAAACGGCCCGCCGCCAUGGCUGCCCGGCCGCCGCAAGGCAGGCCGGGAAUUGGAGUCCGCGACCCCCCGCCUGCCUCGUUCAGGGCUUAGGAGACACGGCCGGGUGAAAGACUACGACUCCCGGAGUGCGCCACGCCAACUGCACCUGAUGCUCAUACUGCCGGAGACGCCGUUAAAAAGAAGAGCGCAGGCGCCUGGCCGCGCAUAGAAUGUAGGGAGGUGUAGUCCGUAAGUCACGGAGGCGAGGUUAAAGGAUCGCAGAGCGAUAGUGGAGGUGCGCGAGCACUCAGUGGUGUUGUAGUCUUCGCGCGUUCUGCAUCCUUCCGGACAGACAGAAAGGGAGCAGCGAGAUGAACUACAAAUCCCAGCACGCAACAUUCGCAGCUCGUCUGAGGCCUCAAAAUGGUGAUUUGCUGUAGUAACCUGUGUUCAUAAACUACUAAUUUCACUGAGGAGUGUGUGGAUAUUUGAUGUGAUAAAUAUCCCCUACUAUAGUUAAAAAAAUCGCAUAUUGUCCCCAAAUGAGGUUCCUGCCAUCUCCCUAAAAGUAUGGGGGGACUAGAAGAGUUUCCUGUUGGGGUUGGAUAUUUGGACGCUUACGACAGAACAAAGUGAAACUACUUUGAUGAGGGCAUUGCUGGCUGGGCAGCAGUUGUUGCCCAUCCCUAAUUGCCUCAACUGCAGUUGAGAGUCAACCACAUUGCUGUGUGUCUGGAGUCACAUGUAGGCCAGACCAGUAAUCAAGGAUGUUUCUCCUGGCUUCCAGACCAGGAGACUUUUCUACAUUGAAGACUACCAACCUUUUGGAUGCAUCCUAUUAAUUUUUAUCCUAUACAAUAUACCAUUUCUUCUUCCUUUACUGCUAUUUAAACAGCAUUCUCUUCUGUGGUGAAAGCAACUGCAGUGUAGUUAUCUAUGCCUCUGGCUUCCACAAGCUCUUGAUAAGACCGUAAGAAAUAGGAACAGAAGUAAGGCAUUCUGCCCUUAAAGCUUGUUGCACUCUUCAAUAAAACUAUGGUUUAUCAGACAGUAUCCACUUUCCUGCCCUUUCCCUAUAUCCUUAGAUUCUUGAUCAGUCAAGGAAUCAAAUCAAUCUCAGCCUUAAAUAUACACAAGGACUCUACUCCCACAGCUGUCUAUGGCAAGCAGUUCCAAAGACUCAAACCCCACAGAAGAAAUUCUUCCUCAUCUCAGUCUUUAAUUGGCAUCCCUAAAUUUUGAGACAAUGCUCUCUGAUCCUAGGUUAUCCCAUGAGACUGAAAUAUCUUCUCAGCAUUUACCCUGUUAAGCCCCUUAAAAAUCCUGUAUCUUUCAAUGAGAUCACCCCUCAUUCUUCUAAAUUCCAAUGAGUAGAAUCCAAACUUUUUAAAACUUUGCUCAUAAAACAGUCCCCUUACACCAGAGGAUCAUCCUAGUGAACCUUCUCCGAAUUGCUCCAAAGAAAUUAAUAUCUUUCCUUCAAUAAGGGGACUAAAACUGCUCACAGUACUUUAGAUGUGGUCUCACCACCACUGUGUACAGGUCAUUAGUAAAUUCUGAAAAAUAGCUGUAAUCCUAACACCAAUCCAAGAAUUACUGUAAUCUAUCCUACCUUUCCUUCUGCUAUUUACAGGAUUGUGAAGUACUUUGCAGUUUAUUUUAGUGUCAAUGACUAAUCUUUUCUCACUCUGUAUUUACCCCUCAUUCUCUCUUUUUAAAACUCUUCAGUCCUUUUGUUGUAAAUCUUGCAAAUGUCAUAAAUCUUUUGUCUUAACCUCUAUCUUCAAGCAUCCAGAAAGCUUUAACUUGGGAUGCUAUUCUUUCCACCUUUUGGAAAUGUGCCUACUCUGUUUGUGUAAGAUGUCCUCUUUGAAGACCUCCUGUCGUACAAUUUCUGUCUAUAAAUUGAUUCCAGUUCACCUGGUCUAAAUCCCUCUCAUAACUUGCGGAAGUUAGCCUUCGUCUAGUUAACGUUUUUAUUGUUGAUUAUGCCUUGUGCUUUAUCAUAGCUAUUCUAAACAUAUUAUAAUCACUGAUCUCCAGAUACUUGCUCUACUUACCCUGUUUAUUCUCCAGAAUCAGAUGGUGCAGAAUUUGCUUCUUCAUUGGCAUGGACACUGGUCAAGAAAGUUCCAUACCUUUUGGGAAUUCCUUCCAAUCUUUGCUGUUUGUGCUGUUUCUACCCCAGUUUAUACCAUAUCAUCAAGUCCCCACUAUCACUACUUUGCAGAUUUUACAUCUUUGUCUAAUUGACAUGCAAAUUUCGUCUAUCUCCUUGCCAUUUUUGACACCCCAUACUACCAUACCGGCAGUGUAAUGAUUUCUCUUUUGUCUUUAAGUCCACUUUGUAAUCAGGAAUAAGUUCCCAGUACUCCCCUUCAUUAGGUCAGGUCUAUUUUGUCAUGAUAUCACGUGCAGGAUUGUUACAAAGUCCUUACGCAACUUAAAAGUUAAUAACUUUGACUCCAUAUGUAAUAGAAGCAAACUGUAAACGGCAUUUAAAAGCACUAUUAAUUAAGCUUUUUGGUUUAAUUCUGAAAAUGGCAAUAGUAGGUGAAUUGUGUUUUUUUUUACAGAAUCUUGACAGUGUGGAAACGGGCCCCUCGGCCCAACAAGUCCACACAGACCCUCAAAAUCCCAGAAACAUUUCCCCGUAACCCAUCUAAUCUACAUAUCCCUGAACACUACGGGCAAUUUAGCGUGGCCAAUCCACCUAGCAUGCACAUCUUUGGACUGUGGGAGGAAACCUGGAGCAACCACACCGAUAUGGGGAGAAAACUCUGCACAGUCACCUGAGGCUGGAAUUGAACCUGGGUCCCUGGUGCUGCGAUGCAGCAGUACUAGCCACUGAGCUGCCGUACUGCACCAAUUUUAUGGCUAUCGGGACUAAAGUCAUGAAUAACUGAGGGGAAUUUCACUACUCAUUAACGGAAAAGACACCAAACCGAAACUCUUAUUGGGUCAAUGAAAGGUUUCUACAAUGUGCAUUUCUAAAAUUAGUGAAUUAAUGACUUUACAAACACUGCACAUUAUAUGUUUCCAUUAUAUAAUUUAACAUAGUCCCAUAUUUUGAUUUGGGCCUGCAGCUCACUAACCUUAUUAACCAUACAGUGCGCAUUUACAGACUUGCGCUCCAAACCCGAUCUUUAAUUGCCUCACCUUUGCCCCUGACUAAUCCCAUACAGAUUCUCAGCUACACUCUGGUGCUUACACUUAGGACAUUUGUUUAUUCUCAUGAAUGUUUCAGUUGAAUGCCCUUACUUAUUCCAAAUUAGUUUAAACCCCUCCUCAGAUUUAUCCUUAUCAUUGGAAUGAUUAUUGAGAUGAAACUUGUCCAUCUUAAGCCGGUCCCAUCCUGCCUCAGCCCAAUGACAUUGGAAUCUAAGAUCUACCUCCUGAACUGUUGCUGCAGCCACGUGUUAACCUGUUUAAUCCUCCUAUCCUACACUCAAAUGCAGGGGACUGCAGUCCAGUGAUUACUAGCUUUGAGAUCCUGCAUUUUAACCUGCUGUCUACCUCCUGAAACUAUAACUGCAGGAUCUCAACUUUUCCUUCCUAUGUUAUUGAAUUCUUCAUGGACCAUGACUCUUCCCUUAGCCUGUUUGCAUCAUCUUAGUGUUGUGCAUAAGCCUGUAAGCAGUUUCAGAAAUGUGUGUAAAUGUUAGCAACUCUGUGUGCACUACUCAGGGGGAGUUUUAUGCUGGACAGGUAUGUAAUAAACUAGGAGGGUGGAGUCUCCACUGAGAUUAGGUUUGGAUAAGGGUAUCCCUGGUUUCACUUCCCACUCGGCCACAAUUAAGGCCCUCAAGUGAACAAUUAAUGACAAUGUGGGCCUGUCACCACUCGGAGCAUGGUAAGCAAAUC
This is a long non-coding RNA of Stegostoma tigrinum, 3894 nucleotides long. RefSeq lists it as uncharacterized. The record is from RefSeq and is a predicted model, not a curated record. NCBI's taxonomy places the organism in Eukaryota, Metazoa, Chordata, Chondrichthyes, Orectolobiformes, Stegostomatidae. The transcript is spliced from 3 exons.